UGGGGAAUAUUGCACAAUGGGCGCAAGCCUGAUGCAGCCAUGCCGCGUGUGUGAAGAAGGCCUUCGGGUUGUAAAGCACUUUCAGCGGGGAGGAAGGCGUUAAGGUUAAUAACCUUGGCGAUUGACGUUACCCGCAGAAGAAGCACCGGCUAACUCCGUGCCAGCAGCCGCGGUAAUACGGAGGGUGCAAGCGUUAAUCGGAAUUACUGGGCGUAAAGCGCACGCAGGCGGUUUGUUAAGUCAGAUGUGAAAUCCCCGGGCUCAAACUGGGAACUGAAUCUGAAACUGGCAAGCUUGAGUCUCGUAGAGGGGGGUAGAAUUCCAGGUGUAGCGGUGAAAUGCGUAGAGAUCUGGAGGAAUACCGGUGGCGAAGGCGGCCCCCUGGACGAAGACUGACGCUCAGGUGCGAAAGCGUGGGGAGCAAACAGG
Molecule: ribosomal RNA, 429 nt
Filed under: Chloroflexota bacterium
Lineage: Bacteria; Bacillati; Chloroflexota
Description: Chloroflexi bacterium partial 16S ribosomal RNA
Rfam family: Bacterial small subunit ribosomal RNA
Source: RNAcentral